RNAcentral lists this ribosomal RNA (443 nucleotides) under uncultured bacterium. RNAcentral describes it as "partial 16S ribosomal RNA". It matches the Rfam family "Bacterial small subunit ribosomal RNA", at positions 338 to 795 of the family's 1533-position model. The record is from RNAcentral.
UCUACGGGCGGCAGCAGUGGGGAAUAUUGGGCAAUGGAGGCAACUCUGACCCAGCAACGCCGCGUGAAUGAUGAAGGUCUUCGGAUUGUAAAGUUCUUUUCUAAGGGGAGAAGCACGUGACGGUACCUUAGGAUUAAGCCUCGGCUAACUACGUGCCAGCAGCCGCGGUAAUACGUAGGAGGCAAGCGUUAUCCGGAAUGACUGGGCGUAAAGGGUGCGUAGGUGGGUGUACAAGUUAGUAGUGCAACUCCGGAGCUCAACGUCGGAACUACUACUAAGACUGUUGGACUUGUGUGCAGGAGGGGCAAUCGGAAUUACUAGUGGAGCGGUGGAAUGCGUAGAUAGUAGGAGGAACACCAGUGGCGAAGGCGGAUUGCUAGACUGUAACUGACACUGAGGCACGAAAGCGUGGGGAGCAAACAGGAUUAGAUACCCGAGUAGUC